GCGGGCGUAACUCAGUUGGUAGAGUAUCGGCUUCCCAAGCCGGUUGUCGCGGGUUCGAGUCCCGUCGCCCGCUCAA
Molecule: transfer RNA, 76 nt
Filed under: bacterium
Lineage: Bacteria
Also listed under: 1 other name
Description: tRNA-Gly
Rfam family: tRNA
About the family: Transfer RNA (tRNA) molecules are approximately 80 nucleotides in length. Their secondary structure includes four short double-helical elements and three loops (D, anti-codon, and T loops).
Source: RNAcentral